AUGUGCAUAACUCCUGGUUCCUAUCAUUAUCAUGUCUCUAUUUCUCUUGUUCAAGAGAAGUGUGAAACAAAGCACUCAUAUUCACAGCAGCACGUACAGUUAUUCUAUGCUAUCAGAAAUAAGGUCGUUAAUAUUCAGAUAUAUGCAUGUAAACUUGGCCGGUUAAUCAUCAAACACACACACACACACACACACACACACACACACACACAAACACCAUGCUGGAAGGUGGUAUUCAUGGUUGAUAGAUGUCCCUAUAAGAUUGUACAUUGUUCCUCUGAUCCAUUGCGAGGUAUAUAA
RNAcentral lists this ribosomal RNA (300 nucleotides) under Triticum aestivum (bread wheat). Its description in RNAcentral is "partial small subunit ribosomal RNA". Lineage: Eukaryota; Viridiplantae; Streptophyta; Magnoliopsida; Poales; Poaceae. The record is from RNAcentral.